AUACAUAAGAAACGCAAAGAAAACUUAUUGCGCACUAUAUGAAGCAAGUAAUUACCUUCUGCUGGGCGCUUCGCAGGUACUUUCGAAGGCGAAUCAACCUUUGGUUUUGACGCACGAAUUUUGUCAAAGAGGCCAUCCUCGGUAAUAAAUGGAGUUCUGCAAAGACGUCUAGCGAUGAGUAGCUCAGAAGAGAGAUGAAACUCACCCCAAGUCAUGAGCCUUCUUGGACUUUUGACCCCCUACAUCUUCAUCCGCAAGUAAGAAACUCUGCAAUACCUCAGCUCUAUUUCAUUAAUCUAAGACAUCCUCAAAACGCACCGUUUUCUUGCUGACCGCAGACGUCACUCGACCACCAUGUCUCUUGAUCAGAUCUUCAGCUUCUUCGCGC
Molecule: long non-coding RNA, 388 nt
Filed under: Selaginella moellendorffii
Lineage: Eukaryota; Viridiplantae; Streptophyta; Lycopodiopsida; Selaginellales; Selaginellaceae
Description: long non-coding RNA (SMOE_LNC000953)
Source: RNAcentral